RNAcentral lists this ribosomal RNA (253 nucleotides) under uncultured bacterium. Its description in RNAcentral is "partial 16S ribosomal RNA". It matches the Rfam family "Bacterial small subunit ribosomal RNA", at positions 524 to 776 of the family's 1533-position model. The record is from RNAcentral.
UACGGAGGGUGCGAGCGUUGUUCGGAAUCACUGGGCGUAAAGGGCGUGUAGGCGGUCCGCUAAGUCUGAUGUGAAAGCCCGGGGCUCACCCCCGGAAGUGCAUUGGAAACUGGCAGACUCGAGUCCCGGAGAGGAGAGUGGAAUUCCUGGUGUAGCGGUGAAAUGCGUAGAUAUCAGGAGGAACACCGGUGGCGAAGGCGGGUCUCUGGGCCGAUACUGACGCUGAGGAGCGAAAGCGUGGGGAGCGAACAGG